Etheostoma spectabile (orangethroat darter) is the source of this 163-nucleotide long non-coding RNA. RefSeq lists it as uncharacterized. The transcript has 3 exons. The record is from RefSeq and is a predicted model, not a curated record. NCBI's taxonomy places the organism in Eukaryota, Metazoa, Chordata, Actinopteri, Perciformes, Percidae.
CCAAUACCAUGGAUAUAGAGUCACUUGGCCAGCCAUGCCAAAACAUGUAUGCACCUCAAUAUCCAAUGAAAAAUAAUCUCAGAAUGAAAUAGCACAAUGUGGUGUCGACAUAAAACACAGCACUUACAAGCCGGAGAGCGGAGUUCACUUCACGAGGAGUGUU